Molecule: long non-coding RNA, 728 nt
Organism: Oncorhynchus gorbuscha (pink salmon)
Lineage: Eukaryota; Metazoa; Chordata; Actinopteri; Salmoniformes; Salmonidae
Exons: 3
Source: RefSeq, a predicted model, not a curated record
UCUCUCCAUCAUGGACAUCUUCAUUAAGUAUGUCUGGUUUAGGCAACACAUUCGUUGAUGUCAUGCUACGUGGCUAAUGACACCCAAGCUAAAUAUCUCUUCAACUCUUUUCUAUGUGAACUCAGUUUGCUUCUGUGCAUGUAUCCAUAUGUCUAUCCCGAAUGUCUGUCUGUCUGUCCCUUCAGACACCAACAGGAGCACACUAGAGACCCUGUUAUCCUCCAUGUUCUACUGCACGUCUGCAAGACCAUGCACAACUCUGUAAAGCUGUGAACCAGCUGGCCGUGGAGACAAGCCGUGUGAUGAGGGGGAGCCACUCCCAUAAGACUGCUGCUUUUGUCAGGGUGAGGACACUAGAAUUCAUCAAGCGCCAGGCCCAGCAGCCAGACAUGGUUCAACACCUCACCCUGCAGUCUAGGACCUGAGGCCAUCACAUUUACAUUACAUUUAAGUCAUUUAGCAGACGCUCUUAUCCAGAGCGACUUACAUCCCCUGUCCCAUACAUCUACAGGGCCUUCAGAAUGUUUUCACACCCCUUGACUUUAGCAUUUGGUGAUACAGCCUGAAUUGUAAAAUGAUUACAUUUGGAUUAUUUUGUCACUGGCCGACACACAAUACCCCAUAAUGUCAAAGUGGAAUUGUUAUUCAAAAUGUUUACAAAUGUAUAAAAAAUAUAAAGCUGAAAAGUAUUGAGUCAAUAAGCAGUCAACCCCUUUGUUUUGUCAAAA